This 580-nucleotide ribosomal RNA is filed under the name Actinoplanes sp. CATR-197. RNAcentral's name for it is "bacterial SSU rRNA". It matches the Rfam family "Bacterial small subunit ribosomal RNA", at positions 281 to 871 of the family's 1533-position model. The record is from RNAcentral. Lineage: Bacteria; Bacillati; Actinomycetota; Actinomycetes; Micromonosporales; Micromonosporaceae.
GGGUAGCCGGCCUGAGAGGGCGACCGGCCACACUGGGACUGAGACACGGCCCAGACUCCUACGGGAGGCAGCAGUGGGGAAUAUUGCACAAUGGGCGGAAGCCUGAUGCAGCGACGCCGCGUGAGGGAUGACGGCCUUCGGGUUGUAAACCUCUUUCAGCAGGGACGAAGCGAGAGUGACGGUACCUGCAGAAGAAGCGCCGGCCAACUACGUGCCAGCAGCCGCGGUAAGACGUAGGGCGCGAGCGUUGUCCGGAUUUAUUGGGCGUAAAGAGCUCGUAGGCGGCUUGUCGCGUCUAAUGUGAAAUCUCAGGGCUCAACUCUGACAUUGCAUUCGAUACGGGCAGGCUAGAGUUCGGUAGGGGAGACUGGAAUUCCUGGUGUAGCGGUGAAAUGCGCAGAUAUCAGGAGGAACACCGGUGGCGAAGGCGGGUCUCUGGGCCGAUACUGACGCUGAGGAGCGAAAGCGUGGGGAGCGAACAGGAUUAGAUACCCUGGUAGUCCACGCUGUAAACGUUGGGCGCUAGGUGUGGGGACCCUCUCCGGAGUUCUGCGCCGCAGCUAACGCAUUAAGCGCCCCG